Molecule: ribosomal RNA, 230 nt
Filed under: uncultured bacterium
Lineage: Bacteria
Description: partial 16S ribosomal RNA
Rfam family: Bacterial small subunit ribosomal RNA
Source: RNAcentral
UCCUACGGGGGGCAGCAGUCGGGAAUAUUGCGCAAUGGAGGAAACUCUGACGCAGUGACGCCGCGUAUAGGAAGAAGGUUUUCGGAUUGUAAACUAUUGUCGUUAGGGAAGAUAAAAGACAGUACCUAAGGAGGAAGCUCCGGCUAACUACGUGCCAGCAGCCGCGGUAAUACGUAGGGUGCGAGCGUUAAUCGGAAUUACUGGGCGUAAAGGGUGCGCAGGCGGUUGAG